RNAcentral lists this ribosomal RNA (251 nucleotides) under uncultured prokaryote. RNAcentral describes it as "partial 16S rRNA". It matches the Rfam family "Bacterial small subunit ribosomal RNA", at positions 525 to 775 of the family's 1533-position model. The record is from RNAcentral.
ACGUAGGGGGCGAGCGUUAUUCGGAAUUACUGGGCGUAAAGGGUAUGCAGGCGGCCCUUCAAGUCGCGUGUGAAAGUCCAGGGCUCAACGCUGGGUGUGCGCGCGAUACUGACGAGCUUGAGGAUUGGAGAGGUGAGUGGAAUUCCGGGUGUAGUGGUAAAAUGCGUAGAGAUGGGGAGGAACACCGGCGGCGCAGGCAGCUCACUGGGCUGUUUCUGACGCUAAUGUACGAAAGCGUGGGGAGCAAACAG